CGCAGCGGGAUUGGCGGCGCCGCGCGCUGCCGGCCGAUAAAGGUCUCGCGGCGGCGUUUGACGUCACGCGGAGUUAAUUUUAAACCCGGACAAGAUGGCGGAAGGGGACGCGGCGCGGGGCGGCCAGCGCGCGGGGCCGCCAGAUAAGAGUUUUGAGGAGGAUGCCCUGGUAGACUCCGAUGCCCUGGUCGACUUGGAAGAUGAAGCAGAUUUGAAGACGCCUUGCCCUAUACAAAUUGUUCUUGCGCAUGAAGAUGACCAUAACUUUGAACUUGAUGAAGAGGCGUUGGAGAACAUUUUGCUUCAGGAACACAUAAAAGAUCUCAAUAUAGUAGUUGUCUCUGUAGCAGGGGCUUUCCGCAAAGGGAAAUCAUUUCUACUGGACUUCAUGCUUAGAUAUAUGUACAACAAGAAUUCCUCAUGUUGGAUAGGUGGGAACAACGAGCCAUUGACUGGAUUUACAUGGAGAGGUGGAUGUGAAAGAGAAACAACUGGCAUUCAGAUUUGGAGCGAAGUGUUUGUAAUUGGCAAGUCUGAUGGGACAAAGGUGGCUGUACUACUUAUGGAUACCCAAGGUGCCUUCGAUAGCCAAUCCACUAUCAAAGACUGUGCGACGGUGUUUGCUCUGAGCACCAUGACGAGUUCUGUCCAGGUUUACAACUUGUCCCAGAACAUUCAAGAAGAUGAUCUCCAACAUUUGCAGUUGUUUACAGAGUAUGGAAGACUUGCUAUGGAAGAAAUUUACCAAAAGCCAUUUCAGACACUAAUGUUCUUAAUUAGAGAUUGGAGCUAUCCUUAUGAACACUCGUAUGGCUUGGAAGGAGGAAAAAAAUUUCUAGAAAAGCGAUUGCAGGUAAAGCAAAACCAGCACGAAGAGCUACAGAACGUAAGGAAGCAUAUUCGCUCAUGUUUCAGCAACCUUGGCUGUUUCCUGUUGCCCCACCCUGGUCUUAAAGUUGCGACUAAUCCAAAUUUUGAUGGGAGGUUGAAUGACAUUGAUGAUGAUUUCAAGAGAGAGCUGCGGAAUCUGGUUCCAUUACUACUUGCUCCUGAAAACUUGGUAGAGAAAGAGAUCAGUGGAUCCAAGGUGACUUGUAGAGAUCUUGUAGAAUAUUUUAAGGCUUACAUUAAAAUCUAUCAGGGAGAGGCGCUACCUCAUCCUAAAUCAAUGCUCCAGGCAACAGCUGAAGCCAACAAUCUUGCUGCAGUAGCAGGAGCAAAAGACACCUACAACAAAGGCAUGGAGCAGGUUUGUGGAGGAGAUAAGCCUUACAUUGCUCCGUCAGACCUGGAGAGACAGCACCAGGAUUUUAAGGAGUCAGCUGUCAGACAGUUCUGUUCUGUGAAAAAAAUGGGAGGAGAGGAGUUCUGCCGUCGCUACCAGGACCAGCUUGAGGCGGAGCUGGAUGAAAUCUAUGCAAACUUUGUGAAGCACAAUGAUGGCAAAAACAUCUUUUAUGCUGCUCGUACCCCUGCCACUCUGUUUGCUGUUAUGUUUGCCAUGUAUAUCAUCUCAGGACUGACUGGCUUCCUUGGUAUGAACUCCAUCGCUAGCCUGUGCAAUCUCGUCAUGGGGCUAGCACUGAUAUCCCUUUGUACUUGGGCAUAUGUUAAGUACUCUGGGGAAUUCAGAGAAGUUGGAACAGCCAUUGAUCAAAUCGCUGAAGCACUAUGGGAACAGGUAAGUUUGAAAACCCGGUGAAGAAUUCUUAGAGAGGUAAGUUGAAGUUGUUGAACGUCUUCAUUUCUGAUAUGGUGCAUGCGAGACUCCAUUGAUCUACUGGAGCAAGAACUGUGACGCCACAACACUGCCCAGAAUCAUCUCUGUAUCUGUCAUCCCCUUGCUGUUGGACAGCAUGCAUGGCACUGAAGAGAAAGCUAAUUAAAGGCUGCAGGGAAGAAAAUUAGAGGUAAUGAAUACCUGCAAGGAGUCCAGCUUGCAGCAGCUUCCAUAGGAGAGAUGGCUGUGUUUUCUCAUAUUGGGAAGACAGACUGUUUUAAACGUUACUAAUAAUAUUUUGAGUAGCAUAGUGGCUAGUAUAGUUGCCCACGUAAAAACGUUUGCCGGAACCAGUGGUUCUCAACCUGUGGCCUAAUCAGUGCACAGCUGUGGCCCAUGCGACAUUCUCAGGGCCAUACAAGUAAUAUAUAUUUUGCGUGGAUGUGGUAUAUAACUCAGAAAGCUGCAUAUGUGGCCCACAAUGGUAAAUAGUUGGAGAACCACUGGCUGGAACAAUUUGCCUUUCUUUUUAAAGCUAACAUAUGAUAUGACCUUACAUUAAGGUAGCAAAUGGUGGUAGAUGAAUUUUCAUUCAACUCUUAAUCUGGGAACAUGUAAUUCUGCCUUUAUAGCCUCAAGCCAAUCUUGUUACUACUUUAUCUGAUUGGCCAACUAUAUGGGUCCAACUUUGAGGUUAGAACAUAGGAUUUUUGACUGCUUUUCAGAGACUGAAUAGGGAAUGCCUUUAGGAAAGGUUACUGGAGAUUCUAUAGUUCUAGUACCUGUAGUGUAGUGGAUGUGAUGCUUUGAGUAAAAAUAGGCAAUGACUUGUGCUGAGAUCUCAGAUGAGAGAUGUGAUGCUAAAAAGUGACAAGCAAAUAGUUGUGUGAGGUAGAAAAUAAAUACUUAAGGCCUCACAAUGGAAACUGAUUGUUUAAUUACUGAAUCUCAGUUCAGGAUUACUGUAUGUGAGAUGGUACGGGGCAAUGUGCAGGAUGAUCAAUCUCUGUUCUCAGCUAUGUAGGUUACCUUUGACAGAUUUUUUUUCUCAAAUUACAGGAAGCAAAACUAGACAAUAGGUUUGUAAUUUGAGGAAAUCAGUUAAAUUCUCGUAAUUUACUUUCUGUGUCCUAAUUCCUGAAGCUUUGAAAAAAUCCAUACCCUCCUGCAGUCUGAUAUAAAUUCUGACUUCAGAAUUGUUUUGUCCUAGCUUGAAGUGGCUUCCUCGAGUCUAGACUUCAUCAGCUUCACAUGUAAAACUAGGGUUUCUAAGCAUGCGGUUGGGUCCUUACUCCAAGGAAGAGACCAGGUCAUAGUAAAUCAACACUUCAGUUUUGCUGGCAGAGCUAUGUUGGUUCAGGGUGUGUGAAGGAAAAUCACACCCUUAACUGACCUAGCUGUGCUGACGAAGACUCUGGUAUAGAUGCAGUUAUACUAGCAUAAAAGCCUUUUCCUGGUGUCACUUACUUUGCUUGGGAACUCUCUUGCUGGUGAAAGCUCCAUUCCUACUACGAGGGUUUGCCAGUACAGCUGUACUGACUAACCCUUUCUAGUGUAGACUCUGUGACCGAACCCGUCACAGAGACCCCCUUGGGACUGUCACCUGAUGGGCUGAAAUUAUCUCUGAGCCCGUUUUCCCUGCCAACUUGAGACUCCAGAACCCUGCCUUGUUGAGCCAGACAUGCUAGCCUGCUGCAGUACAGACCCAGGUCUGGUCCAUACCCCCAAAGCUGCAGACUUUAACCAAAUACUGCUCAGCAGGUCACCUAUCUCCAGCACCCAGAAACCCAGUUCCCAAUGGGAUCCAAACCCCAAAUAAAUCCAUUUUACUCUGUAUAAAGCUUACAUAGGGUAAACUCAUAAAUUGUCCACCCUCUAUAACACUGAACAUAGAAUCAUAGAAUAUCAGGGUUGGAAGGGACCUCAGGAGGUCCUCUAGUCCAACCCCCUGCUCAAAGCAGGACCAAUCCCCAACUAAAUCAGAGAGAUGCACAGCUGUUUGCUCCCUCAGGUAUUAAUCACUUACUCUGGUUCAUUAAUAAACAAAAGUGAGUUUAUGAAGUAUAAAAAGUAGGAUUUAAGUGGUUUCAAGUAAUAACACAGAGAACAAAGUAAGUCACCAAGCAAAAUAAAGCAAAACACACAAGUCUAAGCCUAAUACAUUAAGAAACUCUUUACAGGUAAAUCUCACCCUUAGAGAUGUUCCCAUAAGCUUCUUUCACAGACUAGACUCCUUCCUAGUCUGGGCCCAAUCCUUUCCUCGGUACAUUCCUUGUUAGUUCCAGCAGGCAUCUUAAGUGAAAAGCAGUGGCUUUCUCAUGAUUGGGACCACCUGUUUGUUCUCUCCCACCCCCCUCUUAUAGCUUUGCACAAAGCAGGAAUCUCUUGUCUCUCUGGAUCCCCACCCCUCCUUCUAAAUGGAAAAGCACCAGGUUUAAGAUGGAUUCCAUCAUUCUCUCUGGGUUGGCUUACAUGAACACAGGAGGGCUUGCAAGUAAACAGAGCCAUUUACAACCAAUUGUCCUAGUCAAUGGGAGCCAGCAAGAUUGUAAGCCAUCAUCAAUGGCCCACACUUUGCAUAAUUACAAUAGGACCUCAGAGUUGUAUCUGAAGCUAGAAAUAUAAAGUAUAAGACUGAUACAUGCAUACAAAUCAGAUGAACACACUCAGUAGAUUAUAAGCUUUGUAAUGAUACUUUACAAGGGAUCUUUUGCAUGAAGCAUAUUCCAGUUACAUCAUAUCCACACUCGUAAGCAUAUUUCCAUAAACAUAUGGAGUGCAACGUCACGGACAACACCUGUCAUUGCCAUUGGACUAUGCAUUAUACUGUGAGAUAAGAACCAGUUCCUCUCCGAUUGCUAGCCUAAGGCCUGGCUUACACUUAAAAAUGAGAUUGACCUAUUUGUGUUGCUCAGAGCUGUAGUUAGUUCAACCUAGCCCUCAGUGUAGCCGCGGCUCCUCUGAUGGAAGAAUUCUUCUGUUGACCUAGCUCCCACCUCUGAGAGAUGGAUUAGCUACAUCUGUGAUGGAUGGGUUCUUCCCAAUGUAAGAAACGUCCACACUAUAGCUCUCUAGGGGUACAGCUGCAGCAGCUGUAGUGUAGAUGUGCCCAUCAUCAUUCUGAAACUGAAGAUGGAUUCCUUUGUCCCAUGUCUCAUGCAUGUUGUUGCUACUGACCACUUCUAAAUCUCUCUGCUUUUCUUUUUUCUCUUUGCUUCAGAGGAAUCCCAGGAAGGUGUGUUCCAAACUCUUUGAAGUUGUUAGACGUCGAAUGAUUCGCCGUGUUCUUACAUCAGCGCAGCGACAGCGACUCUCGUCCAACAAUAACAAGAAGAAAAAUUAGACAGUAUUUUUACAUUUCUUUCUGUAUCUGAAGUGUUCACACUUACACAUAUAGGACAAUAAGCAGGACCGUCUGGGCCGGUCUGCAUAAAUGCUGUAAACAUACCAGAUUGAUGCUGCAUAUAGGGUAUGGAACUGCACAGCCAUCUUCUAGGAACUGUAAAGUGGUUUGAAUUCCGUGAAAUGCUGCUGUGUAGGAGGAGAUCGGUUUUGUUCAUGAUUCACCUCAUUACUAUAGCAGCACAGCUUUUCACCAUUUCCUUUAGUGCAUCAUGUUCUUGUUUAUUUUUCAGAUUCCAAGAUCUUAAUUUUUUCAUUACUUGAAUUCUUGUAUUUUAUAUUUUUAAAGGGUUAUUUAUUUACCUCCUCUUUAUUUUGCACAUUUCUCAUACCACAGGUAUUGAAGCCCCUGAGUGAUAAUUUGAUGGAGGAUAACAUGAGGCAGUCUGUAACAAACUCUAUCAAAGCAGGCCUGACCGAACAGGUGUCUCAUCGUGCCCGAUUAAAGACAGACUGACCAUUCAUCUCCUCUUCAACUCUGCCCUCUCAUCCUAGACAUGCUGUACAAUGAGAACUCAAUAAAAAUAAACCAAAGUUUACAAUCAA
Caretta caretta (loggerhead turtle) is the source of this 5668-nucleotide non-coding RNA. The record is from RefSeq and is a predicted model, not a curated record. NCBI's taxonomy places the organism in Eukaryota, Metazoa, Chordata, Testudines, Cheloniidae.